GCGUCCUUCGUGUAGUGAUAGCACCUAUACUGUUUGUAAAUGUAGACUCCCUCUUAGGAUGAGACCCGAGUUCGACUCCCCGAGGGUGCA
This is a non-coding RNA of Mycena galopus ATCC 62051, 90 nucleotides long. The record is from the annotation of a GenBank genome assembly. Lineage: Eukaryota; Fungi; Basidiomycota; Agaricomycetes; Agaricales; Mycenaceae.